Molecule: ribosomal RNA, 555 nt
Filed under: uncultured Bacteroidota bacterium
Lineage: Bacteria; Pseudomonadati; Bacteroidota
Description: SSU rRNA
Rfam family: Bacterial small subunit ribosomal RNA
Source: RNAcentral
CAGCUAGUUGGCAGGGUAACGGCCUACCAAGGCGACGAUCGGUAGCUGGUGUGAGAGCACGACCAGCCACACGGGCACUGAGAUACGGGCCCGACUCCUACGGGAGGCAGCAGUAAGGAAUAUUGGUCAAUGGACGCAAGUCUGAACCAGCCAUGCCGCGUGCAGGAUGAAGGUCCUCUGGAUUGUAAACUGCUUUUCUCUGGGAAGAAAUCCUUGAUUUCUAUCGAGGUUGACGGUACCAGAGGAAUAAGCACCGGCUAACUCCGUGCCAGCAGCCGCGGUAAUACGGAGGGUGCAAGCGUUAUCCGGAUUUACUGGGUUUAAAGGGUGCGUAGGCGGAUUGGAAAGUCAGUGGUGAAAUACUCCGACUUAAUCGGAGAACCGCCGUUGAUACUAUCAAUCUUGAAUGUGGUUGAGGCGGGCGGAAUGUGUCGUGUAGCGGUGAAAUGCUUAGAUAUGACACAGAACACCCAUUGCGAAGGCAGCUCGCUAAACCACCAUUGACGCUGAGGCACGAAAGCGUGCGGAGCAAACAGGAUUAGAAACCCUGGUAGU